GGUUAAGCGACUAAGCGUACACGGUGGAUGCCCUGGCAGUCAGAGGCGAUGAAGGACGUGCUAAUCUGCGAUAAGCGUCGGUAAGGUGAUAUGAACCGUUAUAACCGGCGAUUUCCGAAUGGGGAAACCCAGUGUGUUUCGACACACUAUCAUUAACUGAAUCCAUAGGUUAAUGAGGCGAACCGGGGGAACUGAAACAUCUAAGUACCCCGAGGAAAAGAAAUCAACCGAGAUUCCCCCAGUAGCGGCGAGCGAACGGGGAGCAGCCCAGAGCCUGAAUCAGUGUGUGUGUUAGUGGAAGCGUCUGGAAAGGCGCGCGAUACAGGGUGACAGCCCCGUACACAAAAAUGCACAUGCUGUGAGCUCGAUGAGUAGGGCGGGACACGUGGUAUCCUGUCUGAAUAUGGGGGGACCAUCCUCCAAGGCUAAAUACUCCUGACUGACCGAUAGUGAACCAGUACCGUGAGGGAAAGGCGAAAAGAACCCCGGCGAGGGGAGUGAAAAAGAACCUGAAACCGUGUACGUACAAGCAGUGGGAGCCUCUUUAUGGGGUGACUGCGUACCUUUUGUAUAAUGGGUCAGCGACUUAUAUUCUGUAGCAAGGUUAACCGAAUAGGGGAGCCGAAGGGAAACCGAGUCUUAACUGGGCGUUAAGUUGCAGGGUAUAGACCCGAAACCCGGUGAUCUAGCCAUGGGCAGGUUGAAGGUUGGGUAACACUAACUGGAGGACCGAACCGACUAAUGUUGAAAAAUUAGCGGAUGACUUGUGGCUGGGGGUGAAAGGCCAAUCAAACCGGGAGAUAGCUGGUUCUCCCCGAAAGCUAUUUAGGUAGCGCCUCGUGAAUUCAUCUCCGGGGGUAGAGCACUGUUUCGGCAAGGGGGUCAUCCCGACUUACCAACCCGAUGCAAACUGCGAAUACCGGAGAAUGUUAUCACGGGAGACACACGGCGGGUGCUAACGUCCGUCGUGAAGAGGGAAACAACCCAGACCGCCAGCUAAGGUCCCAAAGUCAUGGUUAAGUGGGAAACGAUGUGGGAAGGCCCAGACAGCCAGGAUGUUGGCUUAGAAGCAGCCAUCAUUUAAAGAAAGCGUAAUAGCUCACUGGUCGAGUCGGCCUGCGCGGAAGAUGUAACGGGGCUAAACCAUGCACCGAAGCUGCGGCAGCGACGCUUAUGCGUUGUUGGGUAGGGGAGCGUUCUGUAAGCCUGUGAAGGUGUGCUGUGAGGCAUGCUGGAGGUAUCAGAAGUGCGAAUGCUGACAUAAGUAACGAUAAAGCGGGUGAAAAGCCCGCUCGCCGGAAGACCAAGGGUUCCUGUCCAACGUUAAUCGGGGCAGGGUGAGUCGACCCCUAAGGCGAGGCCGAAAGGCGUAGUCGAUGGGAAACAGGUUAAUAUUCCUGUACUUGGUGUUACUGCGAAGGGGGGACGGAGAAGGCUAUGUUGGCCGGGCGACGGUUGUCCCGGUUUAAGCGUGUAGGCUGGUUUUCCAGGCAAAUCCGGAAAAUCAAGGCUGAGGCGUGAUGACGAGGCACUACGGUGCUGAAGCAACAAAUGCCCUGCUUCCAGGAAAAGCCUCUAAGCAUCAGGUAACAUCAAAUCGUACCCCAAACCGACACAGGUGGUCAGGUAGAGAAUACCAAGGCGCUUGAGAGAACUCGGGUGAAGGAACUAGGCAAAAUGGUGCCGUAACUUCGGGAGAAGGCACGCUGAUAUGUAGGUGAAGUCCCUCGCGGAUGGAGCUGAAAUCAGUCGAAGAUACCAGCUGGCUGCAACUGUUUAUUAAAAACACAGCACUGUGCAAACACGAAAGUGGACGUAUACGGUGUGACGCCUGCCCGGUGCCGGAAGGUUAAUUGAUGGGGUUAGCGGUAACGCGAAGCUCUUGAUCGAAGCCCCGGUAAACGGCGGCCGUAACUAUAACGGUCCUAAGGUAGCGAAAUUCCUUGUCGGGUAAGUUCCGACCUGCACGAAUGGCGUAAUGAUGGCCAGGCUGUCUCCACCCGAGACUCAGUGAAAUUGAACUCGCUGUGAAGAUGCAGUGUACCCGCGGCAAGACGGAAAGACCCCGUGAACCUUUACUAUAGCUUGACACUGAACAUUGAGCCUUGAUGUGUAGGAUAGGUGGGAGGCUUUGAAGUGUGGACGCCAGUCUGCAUGGAGCCGACCUUGAAAUACCACCCUUUAAUGUUUGAUGUUCUAACGUUGACCCGUAAUCCGGGUUGCGGACAGUGUCUGGUGGGUAGUUUGACUGGGGCGGUCUCCUCCUAAAGAGUAACGGAGGAGCACGAAGGUUGGCUAAUCCUGGUCGGACAUCAGGAGGUUAGUGCAAUGGCAUAAGCCAGCUUGACUGCGAGCGUGACGGCGCGAGCAGGUGCGAAAGCAGGUCAUAGUGAUCCGGUGGUUCUGAAUGGAAGGGCCAUCGCUCAACGGAUAAAAGGUACUCCGGGGAUAACAGGCUGAUACCGCCCAAGAGUUCAUAUCGACGGCGGUGUUUGGCACCUCGAUGUCGGCUCAUCACAUCCUGGGGCUGAAGUAGGUCCCAAGGGUAUGGCUGUUCGCCAUUUAAAGUGGUACGCGAGCUGGGUUUAGAACGUCGUGAGACAGUUCGGUCCCUAUCUGCCGUGGGCGCUGGAGAACUGAGGGGGGCUGCUCCUAGUACGAGAGGACCGGAGUGGACGCAUCACUGGUGUUCGGGUUGUCAUGCCAAUGGCACUGCCCGGUAGCUAAAUGCGGAAGAGAUAAGUGCUGAAAGCAUCUAAGCACGAAACUUGCCCCGAGAUGAGUUCUCCCUGACUCCUUGAGAGUCCUGAAGGAACGUUGAAGACGACGACGUUGAUAGGCCGGGUGUGUAAGCGCAGCGAUGCGUUGAGCUAACCGGUACUAAUGAACCGUGAGGCUUAACCUU
Molecule: ribosomal RNA, 2905 nt
Filed under: Escherichia coli
Lineage: Bacteria; Pseudomonadati; Pseudomonadota; Gammaproteobacteria; Enterobacterales; Enterobacteriaceae
Description: 23S ribosomal RNA
Rfam family: Bacterial large subunit ribosomal RNA
Source: RNAcentral